RNAcentral lists this ribosomal RNA (1346 nucleotides) under uncultured bacterium. Its description in RNAcentral is "partial 16S ribosomal RNA". It matches the Rfam family "Bacterial small subunit ribosomal RNA", at positions 28 to 1381 of the family's 1533-position model. The record is from RNAcentral.
GACGAACGCUGGCGGCGUGCUUAACACAUGCAAGUCGAACGGAAAGGCCCUGCUUUUGUGGGGUGCUCGAGUGGCGAACGGGUGAGUAACACGUGAGUAACCUGCCCUUGACUUUGGGAUGACUUCAGGAAACUGGGGCUAAUACCGGAUAGGAGCUCCUGCUGCAUGGUGGGGGUUGGAAAGUUUCGGCGGUUGGGGAUGGACUCGCGGCUUAUCAGCUUGUUGGUGGGGUAGUGGCUUACCAAGGCUUUGACGGGUAGCCGGCCUGAGAGGGUGACCGGCCACAUUGGGACUGAGAUACGGCCCAGACUCCUACGGGAGGCAGCAGUGGGGAAUAUUGCACAACGGGCGGAAGCCUGAUGCAGCAACGCCGCGUGCGGGAUGACGGCCUUCGGGUUGUAAACCGCUUUCGCCUGUGACGAAGCGUGAGUGACGGUAAUGGGUAAAGAAGCACCGGCUAACUACGUGCCAGCAGCCGCGGUGAUACGUAGGGUGCGAGCGUUGUCCGGGUUUAUUGGGCGUAAAGGGCUCGUAGGUGGUUGAUCGCGUCGGAAGUGUAAUCUUGGGGCUUAACCCUGAGCGUGCUUUCGAUACGGGUUGACUUGAGGAAGGUAGGGGAGAAUGGAAUUCCUGGUGGAGCGGUGGAAUGCGCAGAUAUCAGGAGGAACACCAGUGGCGAAGGCGGUUCUCUGGGCCUUUCCUGACGCUGAGGAGCGAAAGCGUGGGGAGCGAACAGGCUUAGAUACCCUGGUAGUCCACGCUGUAAACGGUGGGUACUAGGUGUGGGGUCCAUUCCACGGGUUCCGUGCCGUAGCUAACGCUUUAAGUACCCCGCCUGGGGAGUACGGCCGCAAGGCUAAAACUCAAAGGAAUCGACGGGGCCCCGCACAAGCGGCGGAGCAUGCGGAUUAAUUCGAUGCAACGCGUAGAACCUUACCUGGGUUUGACAUGGAUCGGGAGUGCUCAGAGAUGGGUGUGCCUCUUUUGGGGUCGGUUCACAGGUGGUGCAUGGCUGUCGUCAGCUCGUGUCGUGAGAUGUUGGGUUAAGUCCCGCAACGAGCGCAACCCUUGUUCACUGUUGCCAGCACGUUAUGGUGGGGACUCAGUGGAGACCGCCGGGGUCAACUCGGAGGAGGGUGGGGAUGACGUCAAGUCAUCAUGCCCCUUAUGUCCAGGGCUUCACGCAUGCUACAAUGGCUGGUACAGAGAGUGGCGAGCCUGUGAGGGUGAGCGAAUCUCGGAAAGCCGGUCUCAGUUCGGAUUGGGGUCUGCAACUCGACCUCAUGAAGUCGGAGUCGCUAGUAAUCGCAGAUCAGCAACGCUGCGGUGAAUACGUUCCCGGGGCU